GUGGGGAAUAUUGGACAAUGGGCGAAAGCCUGAUCCAGCCAUGCCGCGUGUGUGAAGAAGGUCUUCAGAUUGUAAAGCACUUUAAGUUGGGAGGAAGGGCAGUAAGUUAAUACCUUGCUGUUUUGACGUUACCGACAGAAUAAGCACCGGCUAACUUCGUGCCAGCAGCCGCGGUAAUACGAAGGGUGCAAGCGUUAAUCGGAAUUUCUGGGCGUAAAGCGCGCGUAGGUGGUUUUGUAAGUUGGAGGUGAAAUCCCCGGGCUCAACCUGGGAACUGCAGCCAAAACUACUGAGCAAGAGUACGGUAGAGGGUAGUGGAAUUUCCUGUGUAGCGAUGAAAUGCGUAGAUAUAGGAAGGAACACCAGUGGCGAAGGCGACUACCUGGACUGAUACUGACACUGAGGUGCGAAAGCGUGGGGAGCAAACAGGAUUAGAAACCCGGGUAGUCC
This 450-nucleotide ribosomal RNA is filed under the name uncultured bacterium. RNAcentral's name for it is "partial 16S ribosomal RNA". It matches the Rfam family "Bacterial small subunit ribosomal RNA", at positions 354 to 796 of the family's 1533-position model. The record is from RNAcentral.